Molecule: ribosomal RNA, 445 nt
Filed under: uncultured bacterium
Lineage: Bacteria
Description: partial 16S ribosomal RNA
Rfam family: Bacterial small subunit ribosomal RNA
Source: RNAcentral
GUGAGGAAUAUUGGUCAAUGGGCGAGAGCCUGAACCAGCCAAGUCGCGUGAAGGAAGAAGGAUCUAUGGUUCGUAAACUUCUUUUGCAGGGGAAUAAAGUGCAGGACGUGUCCUGUUUUGUAUGUACCCUGAGAAUAAGGAUCGGCUAACUCCGUGCCAGCAGCCGCGGUAAUGCGGAGGAUCCGAGCGUUAUCCGGAUUUAUUGGGUUUAAAGGGUGCGUAGGUGGUUUGAUAAGUCAGCGGUGAAAGUUUGCAGCUUAACUGUAAAAAUGCCGUUGAAACUGUCGGACUUGAGUGUAAAUGAGGUAGGCGGAAUGCGUGGUGUAGCGGUGAAAUGCAUAGAUAUCACGCAGAACUCCGAUUGCGAAGGCAGCUUACUAAGCUACAACUGACACUGAAGCACGAAAGCGUGGGGAUCAAACAGGAUUAGAUACCCGGGUAGUCC